This 68-nucleotide transfer RNA is filed under the name Marmota monax (woodchuck). RNAcentral's name for it is "tRNA.Val". The record is from RNAcentral. Lineage: Eukaryota; Metazoa; Chordata; Mammalia; Rodentia; Sciuridae.
GGUAUAGCUCAGUUGGUAGAGUGCUUGUCUUACAAGCUCUAAGGCCCUGGGUUUAAUCCCCAGCACCA